Molecule: long non-coding RNA, 1246 nt
Organism: Bubalus bubalis (water buffalo)
Lineage: Eukaryota; Metazoa; Chordata; Mammalia; Artiodactyla; Bovidae
Exons: 3
Source: RefSeq, a predicted model, not a curated record
CAAUCUGCAGGGGCAGAGAGCAAGGAGCUGUUUCCCAGGCACUCCGGCAAAGCCCAGCAUUCACCAGCGUUGUGAACUCAGUGAAAUCUAGUCUCUGUUAACAAGCUUAACAAGAGCAAGGGGGCAGGUGGGCAAGAAUGCUCACAGUCCUCCCUGAUAAAGAUGCCCAGGAGUUUCCACUGGGAGUGAGACUAAAAAUCCAGCUCCGUGGGGAGCAGAAGAGGGUAGGCCAUCAGUCCCUGAAAUGUCAGAUACUGGGGUGGCCGAAUAUUACCAGCCCAGCCCCCCAAGGGAACUUAGUGGGCAAAAACACUAAAUUCAACAUUGGCCUUUAACAUUCGCCCAGGCUACUUGGUUCAACACACAGGCAAAGAUUGAUACAGGUCCCUACCUGUGCCCAUGGUCAGCCCCGCCCCCUCCACACCCUGCGUAGGAAAUGAGCAAAGUAGUUUAAAAAGGCAUUGUAGAAAAAGAACUGUUGGGGUAAGUCUGCCAGAUGUGACAGAUAAAAUGACAGGAUGUUCAGUUAAGUCUGAAUGUAACAUAAACAACUUUUUUGUACUGUAGGAAACGUAUUUAAAAAGCUCAUUUAUCUCACAUUUCACUGGGUGUCAUGGAUUUCAACUGGCAACCCUACAUAGAGGGAAGGAAUUUUGCCAGGGUUUCUGGAAAAAGAAACCUUCAACCUUCAGUAAUGCCUCCCUGUGGAGUUGGGGUUGGGAAGGAAUGAGAUGUUGGGGUGGGGGUAAGGGUGAGGCAGAGGCAUUUCCAGGUCCAGCUUGUCCCAGGGGCUCAUGGACAGUGGCUGGGGAGCCCCGUGAAAUGCAGCAAGAAUAACACUCAGAUGGAGAACCCACAGCUGUGCUGACUCAGGACAGGUGCCUAUGGAUGUAUGUUUAAAAUCCUGGCAGGCCCCGACCACUGUCGCUCUGGAGUCAGAUCAGCACAGGGGCUCUGUCUUUGGGGUGAUGCUGGGGGAGCCCCAGGCUUGCAGGGUGCUGGGAGGCUGAGAGCUCAUGGUACCUCCAGCUGCUCCUCUGUGUUUUUCCUCAGAGCCUCCUCGAAGCGCCGGGCUCGGUCCCGCAAAGACUGGCUCUGGAAGGUCAGCGUGUCCACUUGGUCCUGCAGGGCAGACACUGUGCAAGAAACACUGCCUGGGGAAAGUGAGCUAUUCAAAAAGCAAAAUUCCCGCCUUUCUAUUUGAGUUAUGGUCUUUGCCUUCCAAACCUCCAAAUGAUCACUUUUC